Molecule: ribosomal RNA, 690 nt
Filed under: Pantoea anthophila
Lineage: Bacteria; Pseudomonadati; Pseudomonadota; Gammaproteobacteria; Enterobacterales; Erwiniaceae
Description: bacterial SSU rRNA
Rfam family: Bacterial small subunit ribosomal RNA
Source: RNAcentral
GCUCCUCGGGUGACGAGUGGCGGACGGGUGAGUAAUGUCUGGGGAUCUGCCCGAUAGAGGGGGAUAACCACUGGAAACGGUGGCUAAUACCGCAUAACGUCGCAAGACCAAAGAGGGGGACCUUCGGGCCUCUCACUAUCGGAUGAACCCAGAUGGGAUUAGCUAGUAGGCGGGGUAACGGCCCACCUAGGCGACGAUCCCUAGCUGGUCUGAGAGGAUGACCAGCCACACUGGAACUGAGACACGGUCCAGACUCCUACGGGAGGCAGCAGUGGGGAAUAUUGCACAAUGGGCGCAAGCCUGAUGCAGCCAUGCCGCGUGUAUGAAGAAGGCCUUCGGGUUGUAAAGUACUUUCAGCGGGGAGGAAGGCAGUGAGGUUAAUAACCUUGCUGAUUGACGUUACCCGCAGAAGAAGCACCGGCUAACUCCGUGCCAGCAGCCGCGGUAAUACGGAGGGUGCAAGCGUUAAUCGGAAUUACUGGGCGUAAAGCGCACGCAGGCGGUCUGUUAAGUCAGAUGUGAAAUCCCCGGGCUUAACCUGGGAACUGCAUUUGAAACUGGCAGGCUUGAGUCUCGUAGAGGGGGGUAGAAUUCCAGGUGUAGCGGUGAAAUGCGUAGAGAUCUGGAGGAAUACCGGUGGCGAAGGCGGCCCCCUGGACGAAGACUGACGCUCAGGUGCGAAAGCGUGGG